Molecule: RNase P RNA, 308 nt
Filed under: Alistipes sp.
Lineage: Bacteria; Pseudomonadati; Bacteroidota; Bacteroidia; Bacteroidales; Rikenellaceae
Description: partial RNase P RNA component class A
Rfam family: Bacterial RNase P class A
About the family: Ribonuclease P (RNase P) is a ubiquitous endoribonuclease, found in archaea, bacteria and eukarya as well as chloroplasts and mitochondria. Its best characterised activity is the generation of mature 5'-ends of tRNAs by cleaving the 5'-leader elements of precursor-tRNAs.
Source: RNAcentral
ACACAGAGCCCCGCGCAAGCUAACGACUUGAUAGCCGUGAGGGUAUGGCAGCGUAACAGAGAAUGACCGCCCGGCGAUCGCCGGGUAAGGGUGAAAAGGCGGGGUAAGAGCCCACCGCGGGGGCAGCGAUGUCGCCCGGCCGUACGUCCCGCGGGUUGCAAGACCAUGUAUACCGGCAAUCAAGGGCUGCUCGUCCGAUGUCGGGGGGUAGGUUGCUUCAGACGGCAGGAGACUGCCGCCGUAGAUAAAUGACAGAGGCCCGGGCUUCGGCCCGGGAACAGAACCCGGCUUACAGGGCCUGCACGUAC